GCACUGCUGAGGAGUCGCAUAUUAGGACGAAACGGCCGUUCAGUGC
Molecule: non-coding RNA, 46 nt
Filed under: Schistosoma mansoni
Lineage: Eukaryota; Metazoa; Platyhelminthes; Trematoda; Strigeidida; Schistosomatidae
Source: RNAcentral